Arvicanthis niloticus (Nile rat) is the source of this 144-nucleotide small nucleolar RNA. RefSeq annotates it as small nucleolar RNA SNORA48. Lineage: Eukaryota; Metazoa; Chordata; Mammalia; Rodentia; Muridae. The record is from RefSeq and is a predicted model, not a curated record.
GCCCCCUGGCAGUGGGCAAAGAGACACCUUGUUAGUGGUGUUGUUCUUAUAUCAGUCAGGGGUGGGGCAGAUGGCAGCCCUUUGCUCAUCCUAGCUUGAUGCUUGGCUUGGUGAACAAAGCUAUUCCAUGCCUGGGACUCAUAA